GCGUGGGUGAAGAAGGCCUUCGGGUUGUAAAGCCCUUUCGACGGGGACGAUCGUGACGGUACCCGUAGAAGAAGCCCCGGCUAACUCCGUGCCAGCAGCCGCGGUAAUACGGAGGGGGCUAGCGUUGUUCGGAAUUACUGGGCGUAAAGCGCGCGUAGGCGGCCGAUCAAGUCAGGUGUGAAAGCCCGGGGCUCAACCUCGGAUGUGCGCCUGAAACUGGUAGGCUCGAGUCCGGAAGAGGGUGGUGGAAUUCCCAGUGUAGAGGUGAAAUUCGU
Molecule: ribosomal RNA, 275 nt
Filed under: uncultured bacterium
Lineage: Bacteria
Description: partial 16S ribosomal RNA
Rfam family: Bacterial small subunit ribosomal RNA
Source: RNAcentral